Suricata suricatta (meerkat) is the source of this 468-nucleotide long non-coding RNA. RefSeq lists it as uncharacterized. The transcript is spliced from 4 exons. The record is from RefSeq and is a predicted model, not a curated record. Lineage: Eukaryota; Metazoa; Chordata; Mammalia; Carnivora; Herpestidae.
GUCCUUGUGCAUGUCGCCCUUGGGUUGCCCCAUGGACACAAUGCUGUCCUUCCCUUGGUUCGUACUGGGGAUGCCCUGAUAUUCCCCUUCAUAGAUUUCAUCAUCUUCGUCAUGGCCCUCGGUAGCUUCACUGGAGCCUUCGUCAUCAUUGGCCUCCCCAUUAUAGGUCUCUCCAGACUGAUGACCAUGUCAGACACUGCACAGGAGCGGCUUCCCUAGCACGACAGCACCAGGCAUGCCAGUGAGAAGAUUAAGGAUGAGAUUAUGCAAGUAGUCCAAGAUCACAAAGCUUGUCAGAGGAGGUGCUGAGACUCCAGCCCAGAGAUGGGAAAACAUACCUACAUAAGCUUACUCCAGAGCUCAACCACCUACGCUACAUCUAACAGUUCUUAGUAGAAACGUAAGUCUGUGAGGGAAACAGAGUUUCCUCAAAACUGGGGUAGAAGAUAGAUCCACCUCCCAGGGUCU